UACAGAGGGUGCUAGCGUUGUUCGGAAUCAUUGGGCGUAAAGGGCGUGUAGGCGGUUUGUUAAGUCAUGUGUGAAAUCCCUCGGCUCAACCGGGGAACGACGCAUGAAACUGGCAAGCUAGAGUACCAAAGAGGGGGGUGGAAUUCCCGGUGUAGCGGUGAAAUGCGUAGAUAUUGGGAGGAACACCAGUGGCGAAGGCGGCUACCUGGACCGGUUCUGACGCUGAGGCGCGAAAGCCAGGGGAGCAAACGGG
RNAcentral lists this ribosomal RNA (253 nucleotides) under uncultured bacterium. RNAcentral's name for it is "partial 16S ribosomal RNA". It matches the Rfam family "Bacterial small subunit ribosomal RNA", at positions 524 to 776 of the family's 1533-position model. The record is from RNAcentral.